RNAcentral lists this small nucleolar RNA (80 nucleotides) under Capronia coronata CBS 617.96. Its description in RNAcentral is "A. fimigatus snoRNA Afu_199". It matches the Rfam family "A. fimigatus snoRNA Afu_199". Lineage: Eukaryota; Fungi; Ascomycota; Eurotiomycetes; Chaetothyriales; Herpotrichiellaceae. The record is from Rfam by way of RNAcentral.
UGAUGAGAAUCUUUGAUUAGCUCUAGAUCAAGAGCUGCUUUUGCAGCGAUGAGCGACAUUUUGCAUGUAUUACCUGAUUU